RNAcentral lists this ribosomal RNA (253 nucleotides) under uncultured bacterium. RNAcentral's name for it is "partial 16S ribosomal RNA". It matches the Rfam family "Bacterial small subunit ribosomal RNA", at positions 524 to 776 of the family's 1533-position model. The record is from RNAcentral.
UACGUAGGGUGCAAGCGUUGUCCGGAAUUACUGGGCGUAAAGCGCGCGUAGGCGGCUUUGUAAGUUAGAGGUGAAAGCCCGGGGCUCAACCCCGGAAUUGCCUUUAAGACUGCAUCGCUUGAAUCCGGGAGAGGUGAGUGGAAUUCCGAGUGUAGAGGUGAAAUUCGUAGAUAUUCGGAAGAACACCAGAGGCGAAGGCGGCUCACUGGACCGGCAUUGACGCUGAGGUGCGAAAGCUAGGGGAGCAAACGGG